GUAGGGAAUAUUGGGCAAUGGUCGGAAGACUGACCCAGCCAUGCCGCGUGCAGGAAGACGGCCCUCUGGGUUGUAAACUGCUUUUAUCUGGGAAGAAAAAGGCCAUGCGUGGCAAAUUGCCGGUACCAGAUGAAUAAGCACCGGCUAACUCCGUGCCAGCAGCCGCGGUAAUACGGAGGGUGCGAGCGUUGUCCGGAUUUAUUGGGUUUAAAGGGUGCGUAGGCGGCUGAUUAAGUCAGCGGUGAAAGACUUCGGCUUAACCGGAGCAGUGCCGUUGAUUCUGGUUGGCUUGAGUGUCGGAGGGGUACAUGGAAUUGAUGGUGUAGCGGUGAAAUGCAUAGAUACCAUCAGGAACACCGAUAGCGAAGGCAUUGUACUGGCCGACAACUGACGCUGAUGCACGAAAGUGUGGGGAUCGAACAGGAUUAGAAACCCUAGUAGUCC
RNAcentral lists this ribosomal RNA (444 nucleotides) under uncultured bacterium. Its description in RNAcentral is "partial 16S ribosomal RNA". It matches the Rfam family "Bacterial small subunit ribosomal RNA", at positions 354 to 796 of the family's 1533-position model. The record is from RNAcentral.